GUCAAAUAAUAGAAACUAUUUCGUCCCUGGAUGCAACAGUGUUUAUGGAACUAUUACACUGAAGAAUAAAAGCUUGGGAAUCAAGAAACCAGAUAUAUUUAGAGUUCCAAAGGUGAGCAACAUUUAUAUUAUGCCUGAUCAUAUAUACGAAUUUAUAUAACUUUUCAGAAUGUCUGGAUUGUUAGUAAAUAAGAGAAUAUUUACUGUAUGCUUAUAAAAAAGCAAUAAAUUGGAAAUUAGUUAAAUAUUGCACAUAACUCAUGUGCAUCUGCAUUUCGUCCAUGAAAAUGGUAUGCAAUAAAGUAUGCAAUUGUUAGAUUUCAAAGUUAAAUAAAUUUCUGAAAUUAUACAAGAAUGAUAGAGUAUUUGCCCUUCUACUUCAUUUACAGAAAAGAAGAUAAACUCAUUCCCCCCAAGACUAUGCUGCAUGAUUGAGCGAAAACCUAACAGCAGGAUUCUGUUCUGCUAGAGAAAUGGAGACAUAGAUUUUCUCGAGGAGCACUCACAAAUACAAUUGAAGGUACACGGCGGCACAUUAAAACACAGCUACCCCAUUAUAACAGAAAUGGAGACUUUGCAUUGUAUUUAGUAGAAUACAUGUUCUCGAAACAAUGUGCAGCAGAAGAAUUGGACAUAGUCACAACAUUUUUAGAAACUGUUCAUGAAAUUGAAUGGUGACUUUUGCUUUGUUAUUCAAAAGUAUCAUUGAUAAGUAUUUGUGUAUAUGUUAGCAUUGUGAAGAUCUUAUCAAUAAAUUUUUAACAUAUAUGA
Long non-coding RNA from Stegodyphus dumicola, 771 nucleotides. NCBI's taxonomy places the organism in Eukaryota, Metazoa, Arthropoda, Arachnida, Araneae, Eresidae. The record is from RefSeq and is a predicted model, not a curated record.